RNAcentral lists this transfer RNA (74 nucleotides) under Chlamydia trachomatis. Its description in RNAcentral is "tRNA-Asp (GTC) (tRNA-Asp-GTC-1-1)". It matches the Rfam family "tRNA". From Rfam's summary of the family: Transfer RNA (tRNA) molecules are approximately 80 nucleotides in length. Their secondary structure includes four short double-helical elements and three loops (D, anti-codon, and T loops). RNAcentral also lists the same sequence under 74 other names. Lineage: Bacteria; Pseudomonadati; Chlamydiota; Chlamydiia; Chlamydiales; Chlamydiaceae. The record is from RNAcentral.
GCGGGAGUAGUUCAACUGGUUAGAGCACCGCCCUGUCAAGGCGGAAGUUGCGGGUUCGAGCCCCGUCUCUCGCG